This 455-nucleotide ribosomal RNA is filed under the name Flavobacterium sp. 01WB02.4-46. RNAcentral's name for it is "bacterial SSU rRNA". It matches the Rfam family "Bacterial small subunit ribosomal RNA", at positions 1 to 465 of the family's 1533-position model. The record is from RNAcentral. Lineage: Bacteria; Pseudomonadati; Bacteroidota; Flavobacteriia; Flavobacteriales; Flavobacteriaceae.
UGAGCUUGAUCCUGGCUCAGGAUGAACGCUAGCGGCAGGCUUAACACAUGCAAGUCGAGGGGUAUAGUUCUUCGGAGCUAGAGACCGGCGCACGGGUGCGUAACGCGUAUGCAAUCUACCUUUUACAGAGGGAUAGCCCAGAGAAAUUUGGAUUAAUACCUCAUAGUAUAUAGACCUGGCAUCAGGAUUAUAUUAAAGUCACAACGGUAAAAGAUGAGCAUGCGUCCCAUUAGCUAGUUGGUAAGGUAACGGCUUACCAAGGCUACGAUGGGUAGGGGUCCUGAGAGGGAGAUCCCCCACACUGGUACUGAGACACGGACCAGACUCCUACGGGAGGCAGCAGUGAGGAAUAUUGGACAAUGGGCGCAAGCCUGAUCCAGCCAUGCCGCGUGCAGGAUGACGGUCCUAUGGAUUGUAAACUGCUUUUAUACGAGAAGAAACAUCCCGACGUGUCG